AGCUUUGCGCAGUGGCAGUAUCGUAGCCAAUGAGGUUAAUCCGAGGCGCGAUUAUUGCUAAUUGAAAACUUUUCCCAAUACCCCCCAUGACGACUUGAAAUAUAGUCGGCAUGGCAAUUUUUGACAGUCUCUAACGUGA
Small nuclear RNA from Lacerta agilis (Sand lizard), 139 nucleotides. RefSeq annotates it as U4 spliceosomal RNA. The transcript has a single exon. The record is from RefSeq and is a predicted model, not a curated record. Lineage: Eukaryota; Metazoa; Chordata; Lepidosauria; Squamata; Lacertidae.